GAGCUCGCGGCCUAUCAGCUAGUUGGUGAGGUAAUGGCUCACCAAGGCGUCGACGGGUAGCCGGCCUGAGAGGGUGACCGGCCACACUGGGACUGAGACACGGCCCAGACUCCUACGGGAGGCAGCAGUGGGGAAUAUUGCACAAUGGGCGCAAGCCUGAUGCAGCAACGCCGCGUGAGGGACGACGGCCUUCGGGUUGUAAACCUCUUUUAGCAGGGAAGAAGCGAAAGUGACGGUACCUGCAGAAAAAGCACCGGCUAACUACGUGCCAGCAGCCGCGGUAAUACGUAGGGUGCAAGCGUUAUCCGGAAUUAUUGGGCGUAAAGAGCUCGUAGGCGGUUUGUCGCGUCUGCUGUGAAAACCCGAGGCUCAACCUCGGGCCUGCAGUGGGUACGGGCAGACUAGAGUGCGGUAGGGGAGAUUGGAAUUCCUGGUGUAGCGGUGGAAUGCGCAGAUAUCAGGAGGAACACCGAUGGCGAAGGCAGAUCUCUGGGCCGUAACUGACGCUGAGGAGCGAAAGGGUGGGGAGCAAACAGGCUUAGAUACCCUGGUAGUCCACCCCGUAAACGUUGGGAACUAGUUGUGGGGUCCAUUC
This 595-nucleotide ribosomal RNA is filed under the name Microbacterium sp. RNAcentral's name for it is "bacterial SSU rRNA". It matches the Rfam family "Bacterial small subunit ribosomal RNA", at positions 227 to 834 of the family's 1533-position model. Lineage: Bacteria; Bacillati; Actinomycetota; Actinomycetes; Micrococcales; Microbacteriaceae. The record is from RNAcentral.